RNAcentral lists this long non-coding RNA (605 nucleotides) under Nicotiana benthamiana. RNAcentral's name for it is "long non-coding RNA (NBEN_LNC014887)". Lineage: Eukaryota; Viridiplantae; Streptophyta; Magnoliopsida; Solanales; Solanaceae. The record is from RNAcentral.
GCUCUAAAAGAGUUUUCUUCGAGCGAGCGGUCUUUCUAUCUUUUUGGGUUGCAUGCCCAAGGCAAUGCUUUUUGUAGAUUGAGAUGGAUUGAUCUUCGCUAUCGUGCCUCCUCCUUGUACCAGUUGAUGCUGGGGAAGUGCUUAAUAUGAGUUUUCUCCUGCCCUAGACAGCUUCGAGGUUCCCAUCGAUCGAUUACAGAGGUUUCUACCACUGAACUUGCUUAUGCUCCCCUUUGAUCGAGUGCUAUUUCUAUAAAGAAGAUUGAGUAGGAAAAUGUUGAAUUGGCUUCAAUCGAGAUUGCCUCGGCUUCUUAGGCACAUGAGGAAGCGGCCUAACAUCUUUUCAAUCGAAAUCCCAAUCAAAGACAAGUUCUACCAAGGCCAGGACAAAUUGGAUUCAAUCGAGAUUUCCUCGGCUUCUUAGGCACAUGAGGAAGCGCCUAACAUCUUUUCAAUCGAAAUCCCAACCAAAGACAAGUUCUACCAAGGCCAGGAUCUGAAAGAGAGGAUUCACUUUCCAAAAUUCCAAGUGACAUGAUUUCUCCUUCAGAAGCUAAAGUUGAAUGAUCGAAGUCUCCUUUAGGUUCAGUCGAAGAGAUCGAAGN